Molecule: transfer RNA, 71 nt
Filed under: Moringua microchir (lesser thrush eel)
Lineage: Eukaryota; Metazoa; Chordata; Actinopteri; Anguilliformes; Moringuidae
Description: tRNA-Tyr
Rfam family: tRNA
About the family: Transfer RNA (tRNA) molecules are approximately 80 nucleotides in length. Their secondary structure includes four short double-helical elements and three loops (D, anti-codon, and T loops).
Source: RNAcentral
GGUAAGAUGGCUGAGCGUGUAAGCGGUGGGUUGUAGCCCCAUGUAGAUAGGUUUAACCCCUAUUCUUAUCA